GACGAACGCUGGCGGCGUGCCUAAUACAUGCAAGUAGAACGCUGAAGGAGGAGCUUGCUUCUCUGGAUGAGUUGCGAACGGGUGAGUAACGCGUAGGUAACCUGCCUGGUAGCGGGGGAUAACUAUUGGAAACGAUAGCUAAUACCGCAUAAUAGUAGAUGUUGCAUGACAUUUGCCUAAAAGGUGCAAUUGCAUCACUACCAGAUGGACCUGCGUUGUAUUAGCUAGUUGGUGGGGUAACGGCUCACCAAGGCGACGAUACAUAGCCGACCUGAGAGGGUGAUCGGCCACACUGGGACUGAGACACGGCCCAGACUCCUACGGGAGGCAGCAGUAGGGAAUCUUCGGAAAUGGACGGAAGUCUGACCGAGCAACGCCGCGUGAGGGAAGAAGGUUGUCGGAUCGUAAAGCUCUGUUGUAAGAGAAGAACGAGUGUGAGAGUGGAAAGUUCACACUGUGACGGUAUCUUACCAGAAAGGGACGGCUAACUACGUG
This 495-nucleotide ribosomal RNA is filed under the name uncultured bacterium. RNAcentral's name for it is "partial 16S ribosomal RNA". It matches the Rfam family "Bacterial small subunit ribosomal RNA", at positions 28 to 507 of the family's 1533-position model. The record is from RNAcentral.